UAUUUUAUAUCUCCAUCUCCAACUGUUACUUUUGCAUUCCUGUAACGGUAAUGCUUCACAGCUGGCGUCCGACGUGAGCAAAAGUUUCGGACGGUGCGCUUGCCACGUGCCCGCACCGUCACCACAUAUUAUCUCCUUGGCUCCGUGCCAUUCUAUCCUUUUGCUUGAUUUUUUUUCUCUGGUCUCUACACCCAUCUCCCCCAACCUUCUAGCUCCUUCAGAUUCACGCCUUUCCCCGUGCCGCACCCUCCUCGCCGGCAGCUCUCUCCUCCGCCUUUCUCCUACUAUGCCCGAUUACCUCCUCACGUUACCCUCAUCCUGAA
RNAcentral lists this long non-coding RNA (323 nucleotides) under Setaria viridis. RNAcentral describes it as "long non-coding RNA (SVIR_LNC007197)". Lineage: Eukaryota; Viridiplantae; Streptophyta; Magnoliopsida; Poales; Poaceae. The record is from RNAcentral.